Molecule: ribosomal RNA, 171 nt
Filed under: Triticum aestivum (bread wheat)
Lineage: Eukaryota; Viridiplantae; Streptophyta; Magnoliopsida; Poales; Poaceae
Description: partial small subunit ribosomal RNA
Source: RNAcentral
AGCCUGAAAACACCUCUCUGGAUCCUCGAAUUGAAAGAGAGAUUGAGAGGGAUCAAGAAUCCUAAUUCUCGCUAUUUGGAAGUCAUACAACCCCAGGUUCAAGAACCGGCGGAUGUCGCUACUCAUCUCCGUCGAUCUACUUACUAUGAUCCUUGUCUCAUGGGUCUAUAA